GAAUUAGAAAUUCAUCCUGUACGUGAGAUCUGACUCCUCCAAUUAGUCCGAUUCCCCUUGUUGCCCUAAAUCGCCCGAUAAAUCAGUUGAAUUCAGCUUUCGAUUUCUGGUUCGCUUCUCAAAUCCACGAUGGGGAAAAAUGAGUUCCUGACCCCAAAAGCAAUUGCCAACAGAAUCAAAGCCAAGGGUUUACAGAAGCUGCGAUGGUAUUGCCAGAUGUGCCAGAAGCAAUGCCGGGACGAGAACGGGUUCAAGUGCCACUGUAUGAGCGAAUCCCACCAGCGCCAGAUGGAAGUCUUCGGCCAAAACCCCACCCGAAUCGUCGAUGGAUAUUCCGAGGAGUUCGAAACCUCCUUUCUUGAACAUAUGAAGCGGAGCCACCGAUUCAGCCGCAUAGCCGCCACUGUAGUGUAUAAUGAAUAUAUUGCUGACCGCCAUCAUGUUCAUAUGAAUUCUACACAGUGGGCUACGCUUACCGAGUUUGUCAAGUAUUUGGGUAGGACUGGCAAGUGUAAAGUCGAUGAAACACCCAAAGGGUGGUUUAUUACUUAUAUAGACCGGGAUUCGGAAACACUUUUUAAGGAGAAGAUGAAGAAUAAGAGGAUUAAGACAGACAUGGCGGAUGAGGAGAAGAAAGAGCGGGAGAUUCAGAGGCAAAUUGAGCGUGCCGAGCAGCUGAUGAUGACAUCAACAAAUCCGAAUGAGAAUGGGUUGGACCAAGUAGAAACUAAGACAAGAAUGUUGGAAAAAUUUGAGGGAGACGGUGAUAAGAAAAUUAAGCUAAGCUUAGGGUCUACAAAAAACGUUGUUGUAAAGGAGAAGGGGGAGAGUUUCAGAUUGGUGUUUGAUGAAGGGGAGAAUGAUAAUAAGAAUGGAAAACGAAGGAGGGAAGACCAAAUAUCUGGGAAGAAUGGGGGUGGAGCAUCAGUAUUGGAUGAAAUGAUGAGAGAACAAGAGAAAGCGAAAGAGAGGAGUAACAGGAAGGAUUAUUGGUUGUGGGAGGGGAUUAUUGUGAAAGUUAUGAGUAAGGCCUUAGCGGAAAAGGGGUACUACAAGCAAAAGGGUGUUAUACGGAAGGUAAUUGAUAAGUAUGUUGGCGAGAUUGAGAUGCUUGAGAGUAAGCAUGUACUGAGGGUUGAUCAGGAGGAGCUUGAGACAGUGAUUCCGCAAAUUGGAGGCCUUGUGAAGAUAGUUAAUGGGGCAUAUCGCGGGUCAAAUGCAAGGUUGCUAGCAGUCGAUACUGACAAUUUUUGCGCCAAGGUGCAGAUUGAGAAGGGAAUAUAUGAUGGGAGGGUUCUCAAGGCUGUUGAGUAUGAAGAUAUAUGUAAGCUAGCCCAGUGACAAGAUGAAAUCAUGGAAUGCUUUAUCUUCUGCUAUCUGGAGGCAAACAGGGGCUAGAAGAGACCAACAGUGUAGGAGGAUUAGACUAAACCGCUGUAUGUAAAAGGCUAUUGCACGUGGCAAGAAAUAUAUCUCCAAAGAAAGUUUUGAAGGGAGACAAACAAGGGCUAGAAGAGACCACAGUGUAGGAUUAGACUAAACUGCUGUAUGUAAAAGGCUAUUGCAUGUGAUAAGAAAUAUCUCCCAUUUUCUUUGGAAAGGAACAAAAGCAUAUUGUAACAGAUUACAGAUUACAAGGACUAGUCUAAACAGACACAGUGUAGGAUUAGACUAAACUGCUGUAUGUAAAAGGCUAUUGCAUGUGAUAAGAAAUAUCUCCCUUUUUCUUUGGAAAGGAACGAAAGCAUAUUGUAACAGAUUACAGAUUACAAGGACUAGUCUAAACAGCUGUACUUAAAGGCUAUUUACAACUCUAUUUGUAGAUCAUUUCUUGUCCAAUAUAUAUUUUUCGGCCAGUAAGGUAACUUGAGUGGGUUCCAUGUAAUAAGCAUAUAUUAUAAUACAUUAGUUGUUUAGUUAAAUGAUAUUUACUUUAUCUCUCCCUCCCUUACUGAAAGUUGUUCUCCAUAAUGUUCGGUUUCAGUAAAUGUGAUGAAGCAGCUGUUCUUAAUAGCAUAUUAUAGUUGAUUUGUUUCAACAUUGUACAAUGGGAUGUGCAAAUGUCUUUGUGCAUUCAUUGAUUUCUAAAAUAAACAAACUGCCUACAAACUCUCAGUGGCCAGUAUGCCAUUCUCACACUUCAACUACCGAAAGGGAAUCAGAUUGAGAGAAAAAGAGAUGUAGAAUUUUAUGGCACACUCUAAAGAAGGAAAAUAAAAUGUAGGAUUAUUAACAAUAUCGUGCUUUGGAAGAGCAUCAGUAAUAAUUUCCUUGAUGCUGAGGCUCAAUCGAGCAACUACGACAGAGGUUAUAUAAUAUCAGCAUGAGGGGAAAGCUAAAGCAGACUGGAGCUUGGUGUCCUUUAUUUUGCUGAUGGAAAGUACAGGGAAAGGAGAUUAUAGAUAGAAAGAAAGAGAAAUGAGUUACGAGGAUAAUGUAUCAAGGAAGAUGGGAUAUUUGAACACAAGGUUGAGCUGAGAUUAAGUAAGCUUCAAGGGAAAGCUCAAGAUGACUGAAAUUAGGUGUCCAUUAUUUUGCAGCCAAAGGGGGUUUGUACCAAAUCAGACAGAGGGAAAGGAUAUUAUGGAGACAAUGUAAGAAAAGAAAUUACAAAUAUCAAACAUGGGAAGCAAGAGAAUGUAGCGGGGAAGAUGGGAUCUCUAAACAAAAUGCUGAUCAUUUCUCCUCAAAGCUGGUUUUGUCACUUGAGAAAGUGGAAAAGUGAAAAGGUGUCAAUGCGAGAUGGCAAGUCCCCCAAGGAAUUAUAGCAAGUUGCUGAUUUUAUCUGUCUAUUUACUUUGUUGUGUUGGGGGGUUUUCUACCAAAUGAAGUGGGUUGGAGAAGGUGGAUUUUUUGAAAAAGCGUAAAACUCACUUUUUAUUGCUAAAGAAGGCCUUUUACCCUGGCAAACACAGAAGUCUGUUUCAUUUAUUUGCCUUGAAUAUAGUUUCUUCUUUCUCCCUGUUGAAUACUAUUCAUAAGAAAGGAUCAAAGAAAGCCUUUGACUUUGCCCUGAUACCUGUUUUUGGUUCUAAAAUGACCUGCGCUGGGAAAAUAUGUUACAUUUUUAGCAUAUUAAUCUGCCUAUGGUGAAAGUGUCUACUAAUUAUAUUUGGUCGGACUACAAAUUGUGAUCUGAAUGUAGCAUCCAUUUCUAGAUUAAA
This is an RNA transcript of Olea europaea var. sylvestris, 3164 nucleotides long. It is a transcript of the gene named KIN17-like protein, with no coding region annotated. The record is from RefSeq and is a predicted model, not a curated record. The transcript is spliced from 3 exons. Lineage: Eukaryota; Viridiplantae; Streptophyta; Magnoliopsida; Lamiales; Oleaceae.